Molecule: ribosomal RNA, 497 nt
Filed under: uncultured bacterium
Lineage: Bacteria
Description: partial 16S ribosomal RNA
Rfam family: Bacterial small subunit ribosomal RNA
Source: RNAcentral
GAUGAACGCUGGCGGCGUGCCUAAUACAUGCAAGUCGAGCGAACAGACGAGGAGCUUGCUCCUCUGACGUUAGCGGCUGACGGGUGAGUAACACGUGGAUAACCUACCUAUAAGACUGGGAUAACUUCGGGAAACCGGAGCUAAUACCGGAUAAUAUAUUGAACCGCAUGGUUCAAUAGUGAAAGACGGUUUUGCUGUCACUUAUAGAUGGAUCCGCGCCGCAUUAGCUAGUUGUUAAGGUAACGGCUUACCAAGGCAACGAUGCGUAGCCGACCUGAGAGGGUGAUCGGCCACACGGGAACUGAGACACGGUACAGACUCCUACGGGAGGCAGCAGUAGGGAAUCUUCCGCAAUGGGCGAAAGCAUGACGGAGCGACGCCGCGUGAGUGAUGAAGGUCUUCGGAUCGUAAAACUCUGUUAUUAGGGAAGAACAAAUGUGUAAGUAACUAUGCACGUCUUGACGGUACCUAAUCAGAAAGCCACGGCUAACUACGUG